RNAcentral lists this long non-coding RNA (538 nucleotides) under Cyanistes caeruleus (blue tit). RNAcentral describes it as "lncRNA (ENSCCEG00000023001.1)". The record is from RNAcentral. Lineage: Eukaryota; Metazoa; Chordata; Aves; Passeriformes; Paridae.
GGGUGACGGGGCAGCCGGUGUCACCGCGCUGGUCCCUGCGGAGCCGCCAGGAGGGGACGCGAGAGCCGGGGUCUGGUGCCGAGCCUUGGAGCAAAGGGGACAGAGCCGGGACUGGCCUGGCACUGCUGGGACACUCCUGCAACAUCAACCACCGGUGCCACGCUGACCUGCAGAGGAUGUCUUGGCAGGGGCAGAGAGCCUGUGUGGGCCAGGAGUGGCUGGACAAGGAGAAAACUUCACAAGAAGAGAAACUGGAGCUGCUGGAGAGGCUGCGGGAGCUGGAGCAGGGCAGCCGGUCCCUCCUGCAGCAGCGGCUGCGGCUCCUGCAGCGGCUCCAGGGGCUGCUCCAGAGGGACAAGGCGGAGACCCUUCGGCAGCUCCGGGAGGCCCUGGAGCAGGUCUAUGGAAUCCCAGCAGCAUCCUGAGCUGGAUCAUCCCAGACUGGAUCAUCCUGGCACGGCUUUGGGAUACGGCAGCGUUCAGUGUGGCAGGGCCAGAAUUUUGGAAUCAUUCAAGUGCUCAAGUUACCUAAACCUUU